Molecule: ribosomal RNA, 950 nt
Filed under: uncultured bacterium
Lineage: Bacteria
Description: bacterial SSU rRNA
Rfam family: Bacterial small subunit ribosomal RNA
Source: RNAcentral
UCGUGAUGACUAGCGUAAAGAUGCUAGUAGCUGCAGUCAGACUUGAAGACCAGGGUUCACUCGUAAUUGCAUCUGAUACUGCAUGCUCGAGUACUGAUGAGGUGACUAGAAUACUCGUGUAGCAGUGAAAUGCGUAGAUAUCGAGAGGGAGUACUAACGGCGAAGGCAGGUCACUGGGCAGUUACUGACACUGAGGCACGAAGACCAGGGGAGCAAACGGGAUUAGAUACCCCGGUAGUCCUGGCAGUAAACGGUGCAUAUUUGGUGUGGGCGCAAUCGACCGCGUCCGCGCCGGAGCUAACGCGUUAAAUAUGCCGCCUGGGAAGUACGGUCGCAAGAUUAAAACUCAAAGAAAUUGACGGGGACCCGCACAAGCGGUGGAGUAUGUGGCUUAAUUCGAUGCAACGCGAAGAACCUUACCUGGUCUUGACAUGCAUUGUGUCUCCGGUGAAAGCCGGAUAGGGUAGCAAUACCCGCUUUGCACAGGUGCUGCAUGGCUGUCGUCAGCUCGUGUCGUGAGAUGUUGGGUUAAGUCCCGCAACGAGCGCAACCCCUGUGAUUUGUUGCCACCGGCUUAUGCCGAGCACUCGAAUCAGACUGCCUCGAUCAACGAGGAGGAAGGUGGGGAGGACGUCAAGUCCGUAUGGCCCUUACGACCAGGGCUGCACACGUACUACAAUGCCCAGUACAAUAUGAACCGAGACCGCGAGGUGGAGGAAAUCAAUAAAAAUGGGCUCAGUUCAGAUUGGAGUGUGCAACUCGACUCCAUGAAGCUGGAAUCGCUAGUAAUGGCGCAUCAGCUACGGCGCCGUGAAUACGUUCCCAGGCCUUGUACACACCGCCCGUCACAUCAUGAAAGCCGUCUGUACCCAAAGCCGCCGAGCUAACCGUAAGGAGGCAGGUGCCUAAGGUAUGGAUGGUGAUUGGGAUGAAGUCGUAACAAGGUAACC